ACCGGGCGCAGUGGCGCGUGCCAGUAGUUCCAGCUACUCGGGAGGUUGAGGCUGGAGGAUCGCUUGAGCCCAGGAGUUCUGGGCUGCAGUGUGCUGUGCCGAUCGGGUGUCUACACUAAGUUCAGCAUCAAUAUGGUGACCUCCCGGGAGCGGGGACCACCAGGUUGCCUAAGGAUGAGUGAACCUGCCCAGGUCGGAAACGGAGCAGGUCAGAACUCCCACGCUGAUCAGUAGUGGGAUCGCGCCUGUGAAUAGCCACUGCACUCCAGCCUGGGCAACAUAGCAAGACCUGGUCUCU
RNAcentral lists this signal recognition particle RNA (298 nucleotides) under Aotus nancymaae (Ma's night monkey). RNAcentral describes it as "Metazoan signal recognition particle RNA (ENSANAG00000000395.1)". It matches the Rfam family "Metazoan signal recognition particle RNA". From Rfam's summary of the family: The signal recognition particle (SRP) is a universally conserved ribonucleoprotein. It is involved in the co-translational targeting of proteins to membranes. The eukaryotic SRP consists of a 300-nucleotide 7S RNA and six proteins: SRPs 72, 68, 54, 19, 14, and 9. Lineage: Eukaryota; Metazoa; Chordata; Mammalia; Primates; Aotidae. The record is from RNAcentral.